GACGAACGCUGGCGGCGUGCCUAACACAUGCAAGUCGAACGGAAAACAUAGCAAUAUGUUUUUAGUGGCGAACGGGUGAGUAACGCGUAGACAACCAACCUUUUUGUGGGGGACAACACUUCGAAAGGAGUGCUAAUACCGCAUACGCUCCAGAUGCCGCCUGGUGUUUGGAGGAAAGGAGCUUUACGGCUUCGCACAAAGACGGGUCUGCGUCUGAUUAGCUAGUUGGAGGGGUAACGGCCCACCAAGGGGACGAUCCGUAGCCGGUCUGAGAGGAUGGACGGCCACACUGGGACUGAGACACGGCCCAGACUCCUACGGGAGGCAGCAGGGGGGAAUCUUCCGCAAUGGACGAAAGUCUGACGGAGCGACGCCGCGUGAGUGAUGAAGGCCCUUGGGUCGUAAAGCUCUGUCAUCAGGGACGAACGGUCACGUCAGGAAAUGGGCGUGAAUUGACGGUACCUGAGAAGGAAGCCACGGCUAACUCGUGCCAGCCGCCGCGGUA
RNAcentral lists this ribosomal RNA (505 nucleotides) under uncultured bacterium. RNAcentral's name for it is "partial 16S ribosomal RNA". It matches the Rfam family "Bacterial small subunit ribosomal RNA", at positions 28 to 522 of the family's 1533-position model. The record is from RNAcentral.